RNAcentral lists this ribosomal RNA (440 nucleotides) under uncultured bacterium. RNAcentral describes it as "partial 16S ribosomal RNA". It matches the Rfam family "Bacterial small subunit ribosomal RNA", at positions 338 to 795 of the family's 1533-position model. The record is from RNAcentral.
CCUACGGGAGGCAGCAGUGGGGGAUAUUGCACAAUGGGGGAAACCCUGAUGCAGCGACGCCGCGUGUGGGAAGACGGUCCUCUGGAUUGUAAACCACUGUCCCCAGGGACGAAGAUGACGGUACCUGGGGCGGAAGCUCCGGCUAACUACGUGCCAGCAGCCGCGGUAAUACGUAGGGAGCGAGCGUUGUCCGGAAGUACUGGGUGUAAAGGGAGCGUAGGCGGGACUGCAAGUUGGGUGUCAAAUCUACCGGCUCAACCGGUAGCCGCACUCAAAACUGCAGUUCUUGAGUGAAGUAGAGGCAGGCGGAAUUCCUAGUGUAGCGGUGAAAUGCGUAGAUAUUAGGAGGAACACCAGUGGCGAAGGCGGCCUGCUGGGCUUUUACUGACGCUGAGGCUCGAAAGUGUGGGGAGCAAACAGGAUUAGAUACCCCAGUAGUC